CCUUAAUUUUAUUAUUGCAUGAAAAAGGUAUCUUAAUCCAACAUCGAGGUCACAAACUUUCUUGAUGAUAAGGACUCUUUAAGAAAAUUAUGCUGUUAUCCCUAUAGUAACUUAUUCCUUUUUAAAAAUUUUUUGAUUUUUCAAGAAUUGUAUCCAUAUUACUAAAAUAAAAUUUUUUUUUAUUUACUGCCCCAGUAAAAUAAUUUUUAGUUUAUAUUGAUAUUAAAUUAUAAUUAUAAAGCUUAAUAGGGUCUUCUUGUCUUUAAUAUAGAUUUUAGCUUUUUUACUAAAAUAUAAAAUUUGAAAUAUAAUAAUAAGACAGGAGUAUUUAGUAAA
RNAcentral lists this ribosomal RNA (336 nucleotides) under Euscorpius sicanus. Its description in RNAcentral is "partial large subunit ribosomal RNA". Lineage: Eukaryota; Metazoa; Arthropoda; Arachnida; Scorpiones; Euscorpiidae. The record is from RNAcentral.